This 255-nucleotide ribosomal RNA is filed under the name uncultured bacterium. Its description in RNAcentral is "partial 16S ribosomal RNA". It matches the Rfam family "Bacterial small subunit ribosomal RNA", at positions 524 to 776 of the family's 1533-position model. The record is from RNAcentral.
UACAGAGGGUGCGAGCGUUGUUCGGAAUUACUGGGCGUAAAGCGCGCGCAGGCGGCCUUUUAAGUCUACCCGUGAAAUGCCGGAGCUCAACUCCGUGCACGCCGGGGGAUACUGGAAGGCUUGACUCCGGGAGAGGGAUGUGGAAUUCCAGGUGUAGCGGUGAAAUGCGUAGAUAUGCGGAGGAACACCGAUGGCGAAGGCAAUCCCCUGGGCCUGCACUGACGCUCAUGCACGAAAGCGUGGGGAGCAAACAGG